Molecule: non-coding RNA, 138 nt
Organism: Ornithorhynchus anatinus (platypus)
Lineage: Eukaryota; Metazoa; Chordata; Mammalia; Monotremata; Ornithorhynchidae
Source: Rfam
CCCCUCUUGGGGUCGUACCUGGAGAGUUUCCAGUACUCUACCAGUCUCUACUAUGAGAGGGAGAGUCAAGCAGAGGCCUACCCAUUCCAUUCCUAGCUUGGGCAGUGGCUAGAGAGUGGAAGGCAAUCUGCUACACGU